AUCUAAUCUGUUCAUUUUCGAACCACCCAACUAACGGUCUUACACAAUGAACACUCUCCUCCUCCCACCACCCUUAUCCACCACCAACCAUCAUCACCGCCACCGCCACCGUCACCACCCACCACCACCACCACCACCUUUCUCCUCCUCCACCGUCUCCUUAACCCACUCACCACCCCGUUCAUCCUCCUCCUCCUCCUUAUCCGAAACCGACACAAUUACCCAAUCCGACGUCGUUUCCCUCUUCCCCCACCACCGCUACGACUUCUCCCCUCUCCUCACCUUUCUCUCCACCUACACCUCCCACUCCGAUUCCAACUCACUGAGUCACUCCGAGUUACGCCUCGCUGACUCAUACCGAGCCGUCCCAGCUCCCUUAUGGCACUCACUUCUCAAAUCCCUAACAUCUUCUCCAUCAUCUUCUUUCCAACUCGCCUACGCGCUUGUCACGUGGCUCCAGAAGCACAACCUCUGUUUCCAUUACGAAUUACUCUACUCCAUUUUAAUCCACGCGCUCGGACGCGCUGAGAAGCUCUACGAAGCUUUCUUAUUGUCUCAAACACAAACCCUAACUCCGUUAACGUACAACGCGCUUAUCGGCGCGUGUGCGCGUAACAAUGAGUUGGAGAAAGCUAUUAACUUGAUGAACAAGAUGAGACGAGAAGGUUACCAGUCUGAUUUUGUUAAUUAUAGUUUGAUUAUUCAGACAUUAGUUCGUAGCAAUAAGAUCGAUUCGGGUUUGUUAGAGAAGUUGUAUGACGAAAUGGUGUCGGAUUCUAUCGAGUUAGAUGGUCAGUUGUUGAAUGAUAUCGUGUUAGGGUUUGCGAAAGCGGGUGAUGUGGAUAGAGCUAUGCACUUUUUGGGGGUGAUUCAGGGGAAAGGGAUGAAUCCGAAGACGUCGACGGUUGUGUCGUUGAUUCUGCGGUUGGGGGUGGUGGGGCGGGUUGAAGAAGCGGAAGCGGUUUUUGAAGAGAUUAAAGAAGACGGGGUUGUGCCGAGGACUAGAGCGUAUAACGCGGUGUUACGAGGGUAUGUGAAAAACGGGAGUUUGAAGGAUGCGGAGGCGAUAGUGACGGAGAUGGAGAAGAAUGGUGUUUUGCCGGAUGAGCAUACGUAUAGUCUUUUGAUUGACGCGUAUGGGAAUGCUGGGAGGUGGGAGAGUGCGAGGAUUGUGUUGAAAGAGAUGGAAGCGAAAGACGUGAAGCCGAAUUCGUUUGUUUUUAGUCGGAUUUUGGCUUGUUACAGGGACCGAGGCGAGUGGCAAAAGGCUUUUAAAGUGUUGAAAGAGAUGCAAAAAUGUGGGGUGAAACCGGAUAGACAGUUUUAUAACGUUAUGAUUGAUACGUUCGGGAAGUAUAAUAUUCUCGAUCAUGUAACGGCGACGUUUGAGAGGAUGAUAAACGAUGGAAUUGAGCCGGAUACUGUUACUUGGAACACGCUUAUAGAUUGUUAUUGUAAGUCAGGGGAUCAUAAAAAAGCACAGACGCUGUUUGAUGAAAUGCACGAAAGAGGGUGCGUACCUUGUACAACUACUUACAAUAUAAUGCUCAAUUCAUUCGGGGUGCAGGAAAAGUGGGAUGAAGUAAAAAACGUAUUGGGCAAGAUGCAAAGUGAAGGUUUGUUGCCUAAUGUUGUUACGUAUACUACAUUAAUCGAUGUUUAUGGGAAGUCGGGAAGGUAUAAUGACGCAAUCGAGUGUUUGGAAGUGAUGAAGUCUGCUGGUUUGAAGCCGUCAUCGACCAUGUAUAACGCCUUGAUUAAUGCCUAUGCACAAAGGGGUCUAUCGAAUCAAGCGGCUAAUACGUUUAAGAUGAUGAGCAGUGAUGGUCUGAAACCAAGUCAAUUAGCUCUCAAUGCGUUAGUUAAUGCGUUUGGUGAGGAUAGAAGAGACGUUGAAGCCUUUGCAGUUUUACAGUAUAUGAAGGAAAACGGCUUGAAACCAGAUGUAGUUACAUACACUACUCUUAUGAAAGCUUUAAUUCGUGUGGAAAAAUUUAGUGAGGUUCCGUGUGUUUAUGAGGAAAUGGUAAAAUCUGGGUGCACUCCAGACACUAAAGCCAGGGCUACAUUAAGGUCUGCUUUGAGAUAUAUGAGACGGACAUUAGAAUCGUAAUUAUUAUUAUUGUUAUUAAACUACUCAAAAGCAAUUGGUUAUGGAUGAUUGUUACCCACUACCAGUCGUAGGCUUAACAACGAGUAGCAAAACUCAACAAACACACAUGAGGUGUAAUGGAUAUUCAAAGCAAGCUAGUGAUUCGACGAAAGAUACAAAUGAUCAACAACAUAUAUUGAAGAUUGUUGCUCAGACAUACCAGAAUGCAUACCAAGUUUGACUUUUUUCAUAUAUUUUUUGCACAUAUUUUUCUUUGUCGUGUAAUCAUGCAAAUUCACCAUGGACUUGAAACUUGUAGUUACCAUGUUGCUUAUUUUCAUAUAUAUUUUGCACAAAUCUUGUUUUUUUUUCGUGUAA
Molecule: RNA transcript, 2470 nt
Organism: Helianthus annuus (common sunflower)
Lineage: Eukaryota; Viridiplantae; Streptophyta; Magnoliopsida; Asterales; Asteraceae
Gene name: pentatricopeptide repeat-containing protein At5g42310, chloroplastic
Exons: 5
Source: RefSeq, a predicted model, not a curated record